GCCAGCAGCCAUAUCACCCUGCAACUCACAACUGUCUGCCCACUGAAGCUCAGCAGGUGUGAGCCUGGUCAGUACAUGGAUAGGAGACCUCCUGGGAAAAACUAAGGUUGCUGCUGGAA
RNAcentral lists this ribosomal RNA (119 nucleotides) under Lepisosteus oculatus (spotted gar). The record is from RNAcentral. Lineage: Eukaryota; Metazoa; Chordata; Actinopteri; Semionotiformes; Lepisosteidae.